UACGUAAGGACCGAGCGUUGUCCGGAAUCAUUGGGCGUAAAGGGUACGUAGGCGGUUAGAAAAGUUAGAAGUGAAAGGCUAUAGCUCAACUAUAGUAAGCUUUUAAAACUGUUUAACUUGAGAGAUGGAAGGGAAAGUGGAAUUCCUAGUGUAGCGGUGAAAUGCGCAGAUAUUAGGAGGAAUACCGGUGGCGAAAGCGGCUCUUUGGCUCGCAACUGACGCUGAGGCGCGAAAGCGUGGGGAGCAAACAGG
RNAcentral lists this ribosomal RNA (252 nucleotides) under uncultured bacterium. RNAcentral describes it as "partial 16S ribosomal RNA". It matches the Rfam family "Bacterial small subunit ribosomal RNA", at positions 524 to 776 of the family's 1533-position model. The record is from RNAcentral.